Oncorhynchus tshawytscha (Chinook salmon) is the source of this 1132-nucleotide long non-coding RNA. The record is from Ensembl. NCBI's taxonomy places the organism in Eukaryota, Metazoa, Chordata, Actinopteri, Salmoniformes, Salmonidae.
AGAGACUAAAGAUAUCCACCUGUAGAUUAUAAAUCAGAUGUUUGGAGAAUAGAGACUGUAGAUUAUAAAUAAGAUGUUAGGAGAAUAGAGACUAAAGAUAUCCACCUGUAGAUUAUAAAUCAGAUGUUAGGAGAAUAGAGACUGUAGAUUAUUAAUCAGAUGUUAGGAGAAUAGAGACUAAAGAUAUCCACCUGUAGAUUAUAAAUCAGAUGUUAGGAGAAUAGAGACUAAAGAUAUCCACCUGUAGAUUAUAAUUCAGAUGUUAGGAGAAUAGAGACUAAAGAUAUCCACCUGUAGAUUAUAAAUCAGAUGUACAGUAUUUGUCUUUUUAUGUUUCAGGUUUGAUGAUAGGAGAACAGUGACUUGUACUUCACAGCUGGACCUCUGAGGUGCUGUUCAGGCCACGACAUUGUAAACCAGGGCUGGGGGGGCAAUUCUAUUUCAAAUCAGGAGGUAAAGCCGAAAUGCACAUUCCAAUGUUCCACAUUAAAAAGUUGAAAAAAAAGGAGAAUUGGAAUUUCAGUUGUACUUCCUGAAUCGACUGAUUUGAAAUGGAAUUGAGCCCAACCCUGCUAUAGACACACAGCAUGAAGUUUGUGCUAUCAUGCCAACUCCCUGUCACACUGAUGACCCUAGCCUGAGUGCCAGUCUGUUUGUGCUAUCAUGCCAACUCCCUGUCACACUGAUGACCCUAGCCUGAGUGCCAGUCUGUUUGUGCUAUCAUGCCAACUCCCUGUCACACUGAAAACAGAUCUGGGGUCAGGCUAUAGAAGGAGACAACAGAUCUGGGGUCAGUCUAUAGAAGGAGAAAAUAGAUCUGGGGUCAGGCUAUAGAAGGAGAAAAUAGAUCUGAGGUCAGGCUAUAGAAGGAGAAAACCGAUCUGGGGUCAGGCUAUAGAAGGAGACAACAGAUCUGGGGUCAGGCUAUAGAAGGAGACAACAGAUCUGGGGUCAGUCUAUAGAAGGAGACAACAGAUCUGGGGUCAGGCUAUAGAAGGAGACAACAGAUCUGGGGUCAGGCUAUAGAAGGAGAAACCGAUCUGGGGUCAGGCUAUAGAAGGAGACAACAGAUCUGGGGUCAGGCUAUAGAAGGAGACAACAGAUCUGGGGUCAGGCUAUAGAAGGAGACAAC